Molecule: ribosomal RNA, 440 nt
Filed under: uncultured bacterium
Lineage: Bacteria
Description: partial 16S ribosomal RNA
Rfam family: Bacterial small subunit ribosomal RNA
Source: RNAcentral
CCUACGGGGGGCAGCAGUGGGGAAUAUUGCACAAUGGGGGAAACCCUGAUGCAGCGACGCCGCGUGAGCGAAGAAGUAUUUCGGUAUGUAAAGCUCUAUCAGCAGGGAAGAAAAUGACGGUACCUGAGUAAGAAGCUCCGGCUAAAUACGGGCCAGCAGCCGCGGUAAUACGGAUGGAGCAAGCGUUAUCCGGAUUUACUGGGUGUAAAGGGAGCGCAGGCGGCCUUGCAAGUCUGAUGUGAAAUACCGGGGCUCAACCCCGGAGCUGCAUUGGAAACUGGGAGGCUGGAGUGUCGGAGAGGCAGGCGGAAUUCCUGGUGUAGCGGUGAAAUGCGUAGAGAUUAGGAGGAAAACCAGUGGCGAAGGCGGCCUGCUGGACGACAACUGACGGUGAGGCGCGAAAGCGUGGGGAGCAAACAGGAUUAGAUACCCGAGUAGUC